This is a long non-coding RNA of Sarcophilus harrisii (Tasmanian devil), 2696 nucleotides long. RefSeq lists it as uncharacterized. The transcript has 4 exons. Lineage: Eukaryota; Metazoa; Chordata; Mammalia; Dasyuromorphia; Dasyuridae. The record is from RefSeq and is a predicted model, not a curated record.
ACAAAUGCAAGUUUCAGGCUGUGGAGCCCUCCCUGCCCCCGUCAGGAAGCCCUCUUCUCCAUGGGCCAGGAUGUGCUGUGACAGCCGUGUCCCGGGAGGGCGAAGGCGUUGGGAAAGCGCACAGGCUCCAGCCCGGUCCCUCUAACAAGGGCAGCGCUGCCCCGAGCGGCGAUCAGCUGUCUUGGGGAGGCUGGCGGUGACAGAUUGCUUCUGAGAUGGCACAGGAGCAGGGAUGAUUAAAGAGAACAGACACCGAAAAUGACAGAGGAUGAUGGCUGCAAGGAGUUGUCCCCUGGGUGGGUCCUGGCCUGUCUCCAGUGGAUUCAAAAAGAAGUUUUGGCUCCACGAUGUCAACUUGGGCAAAUCAUGUUGUCUCUGAAAAAGAAGCUAGAGAUGGGGAUUGGCCCCAAAUCCCACUGAUGGCAGCUUAAGUGGUAAGAGGAAGGAUGGAGGUCCAGUGAAAUGUUUGCUCAAGAUUCCAGAUGUAGUAAAUACCUGAUAUGAAGCAGGAUUCUCUGGUUAUCUUAAAUGACCCCAGAGAUAUGCUAUUACUAACGAUGAAGCAUUCUCCUCACCUGCUGGAGCAGAGGUGAUGGAUUCAAGACCCAUCAAAGGAAGGAUUUGAAACUGGGUCCUCAGACUCUUGGGACACAGAGACCCUGAUGGGUACAUUGGAACACAUGACUGAUGACAGAGAAAAAGGAGAUGACCCUUUUGGCUGUUUACCUUUCAUCAACCCACAGCCAUGUAUAAUACCACCAGAGGACAUUCAGGAAUGUUUCCUGGGGAGGAAGACUCAAAGAAUAAUGAACUCCACUGCCUUCCCACAGCAUGUAAUUCUACUAUUUUUUUCUUUGGAAGUUGAUACAUGUACACUGGACUCUGAUUAUGAGGUGAUUUUUUUCCUCUCUCCUUACACUUCCCAGAGAUUUCCAAAUAAUCAUGAAUAUGGGAUUAGAAAAAAUGGUUUGCCCAUGUGGAGCAAUCUCUAAUUGGCUUUUUUCUCCUUCCCAUUGAAGGACUGUGAGGGCCCUUGAUUGAUUAGAUCAAUUUUCCAUCCAGACACAAAUGGAGGUAAAAUAGGAAGAGGCCUCGGAAGAGGGGGAAUUUGGCACCGAUCUCCCUAGAGCAAGGGGGCACACCCUUCCACUUGGCAUCCUUGGCCUUUCUAAUAUUUCCAGACCCAAUCUCGACUUCUCCGGCAGCCAAUGCCGCUUACCAGCAGCUCUCAUCCACAUGUGGUUGUAUUUAGCUCCAGAGAACUCUGAACUAAACCCAGGCAGGGGCCAGUGGGGGAGAUCAAAGGUAAUAAAGUCUCCCUAUUUCAUAAAUGGUGAACUUUUGUAAAGAAACAAAAUGUAUUUAAAGCCAAUGCCAAGGGGAGUGUUAUGUUUUGACUGAUGUGUAAAACAAAGAGGGAGAGCUGGAGGUUUUUCCCCUUGUGUUAUUUGUUUUUUUUUUUUAAGACUGUUUAUUAAAGUCCAGGCUUUAAAAUAAACACACCGAAUUCUCGUGUUCUUUGUAUAAACACUCUUGAAUCCUUUGAAGCUAAGGGUAAUGAGUGUGAUAACAGAGGACUGUUUAUCCUCUCCUGGGCUUGUUGUUUGGUUAGCUGGGGUCCCAAAGACUUUAAAACUCUUUCACUGCUCAGAGGGAUUUUUUUUUAAUUGACUGGCAAAGCAGAGGAAGAAGGAACAGACAUGAUGGGUAAGGAUUCUGUAGUCUAACCUUUUCUGGGUAAAGGCUUUUUUCCUAUGGGCCAUAUGCCCCGGACAUCUUGGGCGCUCUAAUCAGAGUCAAAACAUAAAUGACAUGACCUAGUCCCCACAGGGAAAGGCUCAAUUUCCUAGGGAAACCCUUGUUUCUCCCCCCAAUCCAUGCCCUCAACCAUAAACUGGUCUUUCCUGGGGUUGGAAGAGAUCAAACAACUAUAUGGCAAUAAAAGUUUAUAAACUUUGCUCACAGAAAUUUCACCCCGACCAUGGGUCACCUCCCAACCCCCUCCCCCGGUUUGCCCCCAACUCCUUCUCCCGAGAUCUCAGCUUCUGUUCUCUUGAUUCCUCAAACAUAAGCGACAAGUUUUUGAGUUAUUUUGGUCACUUCCUUUAGAUAGUUCCUUGAAUUGUUUUUGGGGGAGCAUUGUAUGAUUCACAUUUCCUCCUUACUCCAGUGCAGCUGGGGGGGAAAAAACCUUCCUUGCCGUCCAUUUUCCUUUGUUAACUGAUGCAUCCUGCAACCACUCAAUGCCUCACCUAAAUUGCAAGGACUGUGCCUCGCCUGGGACUCCUCCAGAUGUCAGAACAUCUGACCAAGUUCUUGGAUGAGAUGGAAAUCAGACUGGGACAGAAGGGAAUGCCCAAGGCACUGGCAGAGCUGAGCUCCAUUCAAGUUUCAUGCUUAGGGGAUGAAGUGCAGAAGGGGCAGACUCCUGUCAAGAAGCUGUGGGCAGACCUUCACGUCUCUGGGAGCUUUGCCCAAACGUGCAAACAUGGGCUCUGGCUUAAAAAAAGAUGGCGCUUUCAACACUGCUCUCCAAAGCGCUGGGCACAUAGAAAUGGAGUUCCUUCCAAUUAGCUUCACUAAAAUUGUCACAACCAGAGGCUCGGUGAGGUCUGGAGACAAGAAGAUCUGAGUUCCAAUCUCAGACCUUAGACCCAUCUUUUAGGGUUCAAAUGAGAUGAGAAGAAGGGAAUAUC